This 83-nucleotide small nucleolar RNA is filed under the name Amborella trichopoda. RNAcentral describes it as "Small nucleolar RNA snoR14". It matches the Rfam family "Small nucleolar RNA snoR14". The record is from Rfam by way of RNAcentral. Lineage: Eukaryota; Viridiplantae; Streptophyta; Magnoliopsida; Amborellales; Amborellaceae.
GCAAAGUGAUGAUGAGAAAAACGUCUGUCAAUCCACUGACAAUUUAUGAUGUCUCGUUUUAUAUCCCAACAGGUUCUGAUUGC